RNAcentral lists this signal recognition particle RNA (299 nucleotides) under Oncorhynchus kisutch (coho salmon). RNAcentral's name for it is "Metazoan signal recognition particle RNA (ENSOKIG00005048877.1)". It matches the Rfam family "Metazoan signal recognition particle RNA". Rfam says of the family: The signal recognition particle (SRP) is a universally conserved ribonucleoprotein. It is involved in the co-translational targeting of proteins to membranes. Lineage: Eukaryota; Metazoa; Chordata; Actinopteri; Salmoniformes; Salmonidae. The record is from Rfam by way of RNAcentral.
GCCGGGUACGGUGGCAUGUGCCUGUAAUCCAAGUCACUGGGAGGCUGAGGUUGGUGGAUCAAGUGAGCUGAGGAGCUCUGGGCUGCAGCACACUAUGUUGAACGGGUGUCCACGCUAAGUUCUGUAUCGAUAUGGUGUUCCAGGGGGAGCCCGGGACCACCAGGUUGUCUAAGGAGGGGUGAACCGGCCCAGGUCGGAAACGAAGCAGGUCAAAUCCCCCGUGCUGUCCAGUAGUUGGAUAAUACCUGUGAGUAGAUGCUGCAGUGCAGCCUUGGCAAAACAUCGAGACCUAAUUUUUU